RNAcentral lists this unclassified non-coding RNA (259 nucleotides) under Ascomycota sp. RNAcentral's name for it is "partial contains small subunit ribosomal RNA, internal transcribed spacer 1, and 5.8S ribosomal RNA". The stretch from base 1 to 47 matches the Rfam family "Eukaryotic small subunit ribosomal RNA", at positions 1785 to 1831 of the family's 1831-position model. The record is from RNAcentral. Lineage: Eukaryota; Fungi; Ascomycota.
AAAGUCGUAACAAGGUCUCCGUUGGUGAACCAGCGGAGGGAUCAUUACAGAGUUGCAAAACUCCCUAAACCAUUGUGAACCUACCGCUAAAGAGUUGCUUCGGCGGGUGGCGGGCGUCCCUCCCCCCCUCCAGGGGGGUGGUGGAAGCCGGCCGCCGAGCCCGCCGGAGGAAACCAAACCUCUUGUUUUCACCACUGGCCUCUCUGAGUAUACUUACUUAAAUAAGUCAAAACUUUCAACAACGGAUCUCUUGGUUCUG